Long non-coding RNA from Mustela erminea (ermine), 1040 nucleotides. RefSeq lists it as uncharacterized. NCBI's taxonomy places the organism in Eukaryota, Metazoa, Chordata, Mammalia, Carnivora, Mustelidae. The record is from RefSeq and is a predicted model, not a curated record. The transcript is spliced from 3 exons.
CCCAGCCAAUCGAUAUACUGUAGCUCCCAGCUGCCUUGUUUCUGGCUCUGUGGCUGGAGCUCCUUGAGGGCAGGAACCAAGACUGGGACAUUAUUUCCUGGCUUGGCAGGGCGCUUUGCCUAUUAUCACAAACAUUGCCAUUUACCAGGUGCUUACAAGGUGCCGAGCCCUUUAUAUGCAUUUUUCCCACAGUUUACACAGGAAAGUGUACACAGGAAAGGAAGGUGCAAUUAUCCCCAUUUAGAGAUGAACAAACUGAGGCAAGGUAAGUAACUGCAUAUUUAUCCAUGUGUCUUCUAGUUCCUUUCAUACAUUUAUCCAGGUUCCAUUAAAGCCUCACCAAACUUGUCAUCAAACCCAUUUUCCGGAUCAAGAACCCGAGGCCCCAGGACUACUGAGCCGAUUCCUGUGCCUCCAGAAUGCCGGGCCGGCAAUCCGACUUGAACGAAUCGCGCCGGGAACAGCGCCUCCUGCUGGCGGCGACGGCCACGCCUGCGCCACUUUCAGCCCCGCCCCUCCGGCGCCGGAAACGCCCGAAUUCUCCCUCCCGCUUCCGAAGAUUAUCGAGCGCUCCUCCGAAGGUCUGGGCGCGGAGAAGUCCGGCGCAGAGCCGGGACCCGACUUCCCGGCAGCCUUAGUCGCUGCGGCUUCGGGUCAGAGCCAUCCCCGGGGACCGCGGGAAGGUGGAGGCGGCCUUCGCUGCCGUCGUUUCCUUCGUCGACCUUCUCCCCCACCCUACACAUGCCUCUUGAACAGGUAAUGUUUGUCCUUCUUGGAAACGUCAAGGAGCUGAUCUCUAUGGAAUCUUCCCGCACCACAGAUAACAUCUAAGGAGUGACUGGGCAGGGUCGUCAGGAACAUUUUCCAAGACCCCUGACUUCCCAAGACCCCUGGCUCCAGGGCAGAAGUGAUGGAGGACACCUAAACACUUGUCUUUGUUCCUGAAUUCCUAAGAAGACACAGGUACCAGACCACAAUCCUCCAUAAAAACCCAUGGCCCCCAGCAAAGAUAAAGAUCACAAGUAGGGAGAGAAACAGGC